RNAcentral lists this ribosomal RNA (642 nucleotides) under Rhizoctonia solani. RNAcentral describes it as "eukaryotic LSU rRNA". The stretch from base 219 to 372 matches the Rfam family "5.8S ribosomal RNA". The record is from RNAcentral. Lineage: Eukaryota; Fungi; Basidiomycota; Agaricomycetes; Cantharellales; Ceratobasidiaceae.
AAUGAAGAGUUUGGUUGUAGCUGGUCUAUUUAUUUAGGCAUGUGCACACCUUUCUCUUUCAUCCCACACACACCUGUGAACUUGUGAGACAGUUGGGGAAUUUAUUUGUUAUUUUUUGUAAUAAAAUUAUAAUAAGUCAUUGAACCCUUCUGUCUACUCAACUCAUAUAAACUCAAUUUAUUUUAAAUGAAUGUAAUGGAUGUAACACAUCUCAUACUAAGUUUCAACAACGGAUCUCUUGGCUCUCGCAUCGAUGAAGAACGCAGCGAAAUGCGAUAAGUAAUGUGAAUUGCAGAAUUCAGUGAAUCAUCGAAUCUUUGAACGCACCUUGCGCUCCUUGGUAUUCCUUGGAGCAUGCCUGUUUGAGUAUCAUGAAAUCUUCAAAAUCAAACUUUUUGUUAACUCAAUUAGUCUGAUUUUGGUAUUGAAGGUCUUUGCAGCUUCACACCUGCUCCUCUUUGUGUAUUAGCUGGAUCUCAGUGUUAUGCUUGGUUCCACUCAGCGUGAUAAAUUAUCUAUCGCUGAGGACACCGUAAAAAGUGGCCAAGGUAAAUGCAGAUGAACCGCUUCUAAUAGUCCAUUGACUUGGACACUAUUUUUAUGAUCUGAUCUCAAAUCAGGUAGGACUACCCGCUGAACUUA